CUACUGUUAUUAUAUAUUUUCCUGGUUUCUUGUCAUGGUUAUUCCUUAUCCUCUAUCCUUUAUGUACUUUCUUUUGCUUUAGAUGCUAGAACAAAAAGCAAACUAAUGUAACCCAGUGUGCUGAUGUAGUUGCUUCAAAAAUAAAGCAUGGUUAAAGAUCCCCAGUAGAUGAUGCAGUGCUCAUUCCUUGCAUAAACAAAUCCAAACACCAAGCAAGUGUAAAGAAGCCCAAGUUGGAACACAAGUUCUCGAGGAUAGCCGAUGGCUUUACCUCCUUACAGCAGGUAACAGAGGAGCUGACAAAAUCUGGGCUUGAAUCAUCAAAUCUCAUUGUAGGAAUUGACUUCACAAAAAGCAAUGAGUGGACAGGUAAGAACUCAUUCCAUGGCAGCAGCUUGCACCACGUUGGAACUACUAAAAAUCCUUAUGAACAAGCAAUUUCAAUUAUUGGACGAACCUUGUCAUCAUUUGACGAAGAUAACUUAAUCCCAUGCUUUGGUUUCGGAGAUGCAUCUACCCAUGACAAAGAUGUAUUUAGCUUCUAUAUGGAGCUAGAUUUGCAAAAGCCAUAUCCAACUCGAGGAAGUGACUUAUUGACAUGGGAGAGAACUUAUUGGUAACCAAGGACUUUGUGAAGAUAGCAAAUUUUGGCCUUGCUCGUGAAGUUCAUUCGAAGCCACCAUUCACAGAAUAGGUUUCAACACGCUGUUUACAAAUCUCAAGUACUCCAGAGUUGAAAUUGAUGAAAUGCAGUUCGAGUGGGCUGA
Long non-coding RNA from Zingiber officinale, 767 nucleotides. RefSeq lists it as uncharacterized. Lineage: Eukaryota; Viridiplantae; Streptophyta; Magnoliopsida; Zingiberales; Zingiberaceae. The transcript has 7 exons. The record is from RefSeq and is a predicted model, not a curated record.